RNAcentral lists this transfer RNA (67 nucleotides) under Aedes aegypti (yellow fever mosquito). It matches the Rfam family "tRNA". Rfam says of the family: Transfer RNA (tRNA) molecules are approximately 80 nucleotides in length. Their secondary structure includes four short double-helical elements and three loops (D, anti-codon, and T loops). Lineage: Eukaryota; Metazoa; Arthropoda; Insecta; Diptera; Culicidae. The record is from Rfam by way of RNAcentral.
CUCGGUAGCUUAGUUGGUAAAGCGCUCGUCUAGCAUACAAGAGCGCUAGGUUCAAAUCCCAGCCAAG